CUGGAAGGAGCCGGGCAUCCGGCCUGAGGGGCAGCGCUAGUGUUAGUUCGGCCCAAUGGCGGCACCGCUGCUUCACACGCGGUUGCCGGGAGAUGCGACUGCUUCGGCCUCUGCAGUCAAGACGCUGGGCGCGUCGAGGACUGGGAUUUCAAAUAUGCGUGCAUUAGAGAAUGAUUUUUUCAAUUCUCCCCCAAGAAAAACUGUUCGGUUUGGUGGAACUGUGACAGAAGUCUUGCUGAAGUAUAAAAAGGGUGAAACAAAUGACUUUGAGUUGUUGAAGAACCAGCUGUUAGAUCCAGACAUAAAGGUAAUUAAUUUUGUGUUUGAUCAUUAGCAAAAUUAUUGCCACUUUAUAGGGACAUAGUUUGUUCUUUGGCUCCCAUGCUGUCUCCAUGGUCCUCCCUUACUUUAAUCUGGUGGUUCUCAACCAGGGACAGUUUUACCCCCAGGAGA
Molecule: long non-coding RNA, 453 nt
Filed under: Rhinopithecus roxellana (golden snub-nosed monkey)
Lineage: Eukaryota; Metazoa; Chordata; Mammalia; Primates; Cercopithecidae
Description: lncRNA (ENSRROG00000045994.1)
Source: RNAcentral